Molecule: ribosomal RNA, 663 nt
Filed under: Triticum aestivum (bread wheat)
Lineage: Eukaryota; Viridiplantae; Streptophyta; Magnoliopsida; Poales; Poaceae
Description: partial small subunit ribosomal RNA
Source: RNAcentral
AUGAUUGAAGAUCAAAAAACUCAAGAUGAGCUUAUUGAUGAACUCGACAAAUACGAGGCGGGGGAAGAUUCCUUUGGAAUGGACAUUGCUGUACGACAGAGAAAAAGGAAAAACUUUUCUCCAGCGAAAUGGUGGCUGAAUUAUGGCACAUGUGCACCCCUGUUGAAGGACUUGGCAAUGAAGAUUUUGAGUUUGACAUGUAGCUCCUCAGCUUGUGAGAGAAAUUGGUCAGCAUUUGAACAAGUUCAUACAAAGAAACGCAGCAGGCUACUCCAUGAUAGGAUGAGUGAUUUUGUAUUUAUCAAGUUCAACUCUAGGAUGAAGCAUAAGAGAGAGAACAAGAGUAGAGACCCAAUAGAGAAGACAAUCGUUGAUGUUCUUGAGGACGAGGAUAACGAGUUCAUCACCGACAUUGUUGGAAAUGAUAAUGUUGUUGAACAUGUUGGUGAUGAAGAUCAAACUCAACAAGAGAGAGCUUCAACAUCACAAGAACAAGGGAAAAAGAAGAAAAGGCCUACUGCGCCCCCUAGAAAGAAGAGGAAGAAGAGCUUGCAAUCUCUCCUUAAUAGUGUCGAUGAGGAAGCUAUACUUUCUGCCUCUUCCAAUUCUUCUUCGUCGGAAUCAGAAGAUGAGUCUCCCUCGGCCCUUGCUGACUCAGAUUAA